UUAAUAAAUGAGACCUUAUUGUAAAGUGUUACCAUUUUUAUUCAUACUGUUUUUAUUUCUAUGAUCAAUUUUGGGAAAGGAGAUCAGUUUUUACCUUAUUUGGAAGGGUCAUGAAUAGUAGCAUGGUGCUCUGCUCUGAUUGGCUGUUUCACUGUGCGGCUCCUUUCAGUAGCUCACAGUGAUAGCGAACUGUACGGCGUGAAUGAUGGAGAGAUUAGGUUAUUCAACCUUAUAUGUUUGAGCCUGUUUCUGAAGAAGAUGCAGAUGUAGAGGAACAACCAAUUUUUUUGCGAUUGGCCAUGGACGUUUCUGAGUGGUAAGUUAGUCUUUAUUUUCACUAUGAACCUGCAAAACGUAACUGUUAUGUCAAUACUAGAACUAGCAUAUAGCAUUAACUUUACACGAUAACUCAUAACGUCAGUAGUCACAACUUUGUUUUUAGCAUUGUAAAAACUUUAAUUGUUAUAAUGUAUCACUGUAUGGUUUUACAAUGAUAGCUUCUUCACUUUGCAUUAACAACUCUAAACAGCAAACUGGGUAGCGCGAAUUUGUUUGUUUUUAAUAAAUUGAAUUUAUUUGUUUCUAAUAAAUUGACAAUAGCGAUAUGAUUUGAAAUUUGAUUUAUUUAGCCAACCAAAGUAAAGCAUAGAUGCCAUUCAGUAUAAUCAGUGUCAUGUUUACUACUCAGCUGCUGUAGUGUGAUUAUGAUUUAGCUAUUAGUAACAAAAACUUACAUCGUUGUCUAUAAAUAUCCUUUUUUCCACAGGUGUACUUGUGGAAAUUGUGCACGUAUGGCCCUCGAGAGAGAGAAUAUAUGUUGCAGGGAAAUACCACAGGUCACAAGAAGAAUGGGCCAAGUUCCGAAUCAUGCAUGACAGACCAUCCCAGCCUUGAACCUGUAUGUCUCAAUAUAUAUAUUCUUUGCAAAAUGCAAUGAAUGUUUAUAGAGCUGACCAUGGGCCAAUUAGACUCAGAGGGAUGGAAGGGCAGUGCAGACACUUGGCCUACAGGUGGUUUGUUAGCUGGUGCUGGGGUUUCCUCGGACGAAGCAUUGGUGUUGCCAUCCCUUCAUGUGUGGUGCUGCGCAUUAGAAGGGAGUUUCCUGAUGUUGCAGGCC
Molecule: long non-coding RNA, 1117 nt
Organism: Megalobrama amblycephala (Wuchang bream)
Lineage: Eukaryota; Metazoa; Chordata; Actinopteri; Cypriniformes; Xenocyprididae
Exons: 3
Source: RefSeq, a predicted model, not a curated record